RNAcentral lists this ribosomal RNA (428 nucleotides) under uncultured Campylobacterota bacterium. Its description in RNAcentral is "bacterial SSU rRNA". It matches the Rfam family "Bacterial small subunit ribosomal RNA", at positions 8 to 439 of the family's 1533-position model. The record is from RNAcentral. Lineage: Bacteria; Pseudomonadati; Campylobacterota.
AGAGUUUGAUCCUGGCUCAGAGUGAACGCUGGCGGCGUGCUUAACACAUGCAAGUCGAACGAUGAAGCCUAGCUUGCUAGGUGGAUUAGUGGCGCACGGGUGAGUAAUAUAUAGAUAACGUGCCUCUUAGUCUGGGAUAGCCAUUGGAAACGAUGAUUAAUACUGGAUACUCCUUCUCAUUAUAAUUUGAGUCGGGAAAGUUUUUCGCUAAGAGAUCGGUCUAUAUCCCAUCAGUUAGUUGGUAAGGUAACGGCUUACCAAGGCAAUGACGGGUAGCGGGUUUGAGAGGAUGAUCCGCCACACUGGUACUGAGACACGGACCAGACUCCUACGGGAGGCAGCAGUGAGGAAUAUUGCACAAUGGAGGAAACUCUGAUGCAGCAACGCCGCGUGGAGGAUACGCAUUUCGGUGUGUAAACUCCUUUUAU